Molecule: ribosomal RNA, 497 nt
Filed under: uncultured bacterium
Lineage: Bacteria
Description: partial 16S ribosomal RNA
Rfam family: Bacterial small subunit ribosomal RNA
Source: RNAcentral
GAUGAACGCUGGCGGCGUGCCUAAUACAUGCAAGUCGAGCGAACAGACCAGGAGUUUGUUCCUCUGACGUUUUCGGCGGUCGGGAUUGUCACAUGUGUAUAACCUACCUAUCAGACUGGGAUACUUUCGGGACAUCGUAGCUUAUACCGUAUAAUAUAUUGAUCCGCAUGGUUCAAUAGUGAAAUUCGGUUUUUCUGUCACUUAUAGAUGGAUCCGCGCGGCAUUAGCUAGUUGUUAAGUUAACGGGUUACCAAGGCAACGAUUCGUAGACGACAUCAGAGGGUGGUCGCACACACGGGAAGUGAGAAAGAGUCCAGACUCCGACGGGAAGCAGCAGAAGGGAAUCUUACGCAAGGGGCGAAAGGAUGACGGAGCAAAGCGGCGUAAGUGAUGAAGGUGUUCGGAUCGUAAAGAUCUGUUAUUAGGGAGGAACAAAUGUGUAAGUAACUAGGAACGUAUUGACGGUACCGAAUCAGAAAGCUACGGCUAACUACGUG